Molecule: ribosomal RNA, 103 nt
Filed under: Suhomyces tanzawaensis
Lineage: Eukaryota; Fungi; Ascomycota; Pichiomycetes; Serinales; Debaryomycetaceae
Description: partial 28S ribosomal RNA
Rfam family: Eukaryotic large subunit ribosomal RNA
Source: RNAcentral
UCGACCUCAAAUCAGGUAGGACUACCCGCUGAACUUAAGCAUAUCAAUAAGCGGAGGAAAAGAAACCAACAGGGAUUGCCUCAGUAACGGCGAGUGAAGCGGC